Molecule: long non-coding RNA, 226 nt
Organism: Brienomyrus brachyistius
Lineage: Eukaryota; Metazoa; Chordata; Actinopteri; Osteoglossiformes; Mormyridae
Exons: 3
Source: RefSeq, a predicted model, not a curated record
CUUUGAUCCAAGCUUAAAGACCCCGGAGAACAACAGCAGCUGGCCUCCUCGCUCCCCCGGCCCCCUCAAAGGCGUACUUUCCUCGGAACGAAUAUGGGACUAAUGAGCGAUGGGGGGACAAAGGGACCCUCAGCCGCCCUCUUCAACACCGCAGACUGCUCUAUUUUCACGUAUCCCGAAGCUGGCUUAUGGCAAGAUUAUCCGCUCAUUAGAAGGAAGAAAGCAG